This 343-nucleotide unclassified non-coding RNA is filed under the name soil metagenome. RNAcentral's name for it is "partial contains 5.8S ribosomal RNA, internal transcribed spacer 2, and large subunit ribosomal RNA". The stretch from base 1 to 120 matches the Rfam family "5.8S ribosomal RNA", at positions 35 to 154 of the family's 154-position model. The record is from RNAcentral.
GAUGAAGAACGCAGCGAAAUGCGAUAAGUAAUGUGAAUUGCAGAAUUCAGUGAAUCAUCGAAUCUUUGAACGCGCAUUGCGCCCGCCAGUAUUCUGGCGGGCAUGCCUGUUCGAGCGUCAUUUCAACCCUCAGGCCCCGCCUGGCGUUGGGGAUCGGCGCGGCCCUCUCCGGGCUGCCGGCCCCGAAAACUAGUGGCGGUCUCGCUGUAGUCCUCCUCUGCGCAGUAGCAACGCUCGCACUGGAACUCGGCGCGGCCACGCCGUAAAACACCCCACUUCUGAAAGUUGACCUCGGAUCAGGUAGGAAUACCCGCUGAACUUAAGCAUAUCAAUAAGCGGAGGA